Molecule: ribosomal RNA, 1370 nt
Filed under: uncultured bacterium
Lineage: Bacteria
Description: bacterial SSU rRNA
Rfam family: Bacterial small subunit ribosomal RNA
Source: RNAcentral
AGAGUUUGAUCCUGGCUCAGGACGAACGCUGGCGGCGCGCCUAACACAUGCAAGUCGAACGAGCGAGAGAGAGCUUGCUUUCUCGAGCGAGUGGCGAACGGGUGAGUAACGCGUGAGGAACCUGCCUCAAAGAGGGGGACAACAGUUGGAAACGACUGCUAAUACCGCAUAAGCCCACGGGUCGGCAUCGACCAGAGGGAAAAGGAGCAAUCCGCUUUGAGAUGGCCUCGCGUCCGAUUAGCUAGUUGGUGAGGUAACGGCCCACCAAGGCGACGAUCGGUAGCCGGACUGAGAGGUUGAACGGCCACAUUGGGACUGAGACACGGCCCAGACUCCUACGGGAGGCAGCAGUGGGGAAUAUUGCACAAUGGGGGAAACCCUGAUGCAGCGACGCCGCGUGGAGGAAGAAGGUCUUCGGAUUGUAAACUCCUGUUGUUGGGGAAGAUAAUGACGGUACCCAACAAGGAAGUGACGGCUAACUACGUGCCAGCAGCCGCGGUAAAACGUAGGUCACAAGCGUUGUCCGGAAUUACUGGGUGUAAAGGGAGCGCAGGCGGGAAGACAAGUUGGAAGUGAAAUCUAUGGGCUCAACCCAUAAACUGCUUUCAAAACUGUUUUUCUUGAGUAGUGCAGAGGUAGGCGGAAUUCCCGGUGUAGCGGUGGAAUGCGUAGAUAUCGGGAGGAACACCAGUGGCGAAGGCGGCCUACUGGGCACCAACUGACGCUGAGGCUCGAAAGUGUGGGUAGCAAACAGGAUUAGAUACCCUGGUAGUCCACACCGUAAACGAUGAUUACUAGGUGUUGGAGGAUUGACCCCUUCAGUGCCGCAGUUAACACAAUAAGUAAUCCACCUGGGGAGUACGACCGCAAGGUUGAAACUCAAAGGAAUUGACGGGGGCCCGCACAAGCAGUGGAGUAUGUGGUUUAAUUCGACGCAACGCGAAGAACCUUACCAAGUCUUGACAUCCCUUGACAGGCAUAGAAAUAUGUUUUCUCUUCGGAGCAAGGAGACAGGUGGUGCAUGGUUGUCGUCAGCUCGUGUCGUGAGAUGUUGGGUUAAGUCCCGCAACGAGCGCAACCCUUAUGGUCAGUUACUACGCAAGAGGACUCUGGCCAGACUGCCGUUGACAAAACGGAGGAAGGUGGGGAUGACGUCAAAUCAUCAUGCCCUUUAUGACUUGGGCUACACACGUACUACAAUGGCGUUAAACAAAGAGAAGCGAGACCGCGAGGUGGAGCAAAACUCAGAAACAACGUCCCAGUUCGGACUGCAGGCUGCAACUCGCCUGCACGAAGUCGGAAUUGCUAGUAAUCGUGGAUCAGCAUGCCACGGUGAAUACGUUCCCGGGCCUUGCACACACCGCCCGUCA